UUCCAGACUCCUACGGGAGGCAGCAGUGGGGAAUAUUGCACAAUGGGGGGAACCCUGAUGCAGCGACGCCGCGUGGGUGAAGAAGUCAUUCGUGACGUAAAGCCCUAUCAGCAGGGAAGAAAAUGACGGUACCUGACUAAGAAGCCCCGGCUAACUACGUGCCAGCAGCCGCGGUAAUACGUAGGGGGCAAGCGUUAUCCGGAUUUACUGGGUGUAAAGGGAGCGUAGGCGGCCCUGUAAGUCUGAUGUGAAAAUUUGGGGCUCAACCCCAAACGUGCAUUGGAAACUGCAGGGCUUGAGUGCCGGAGAGGCAGGCGGAAUUCCUAGUGUAGCGGUGAAAUGCGUAGAUAUUAGGAGGAACACCAGUGGCGAAGGCGGCCUGCUGGACGGUAACUGACGCUGAGGCUCGAAAGCGUGGGGAGCAAACAGGAUUAGAUACCCGGGUAG
Molecule: ribosomal RNA, 447 nt
Filed under: uncultured bacterium
Lineage: Bacteria
Description: partial 16S ribosomal RNA
Rfam family: Bacterial small subunit ribosomal RNA
Source: RNAcentral